UAAUACUAGCGGUCCAAGUCGCAGCCAUUUUUAUUGGGUCUAAAACAUCCGUAGCUUGCUUAAUAAGUUUCUUGUAAAAUCCUCUCUCUUAAAGGUAGGACAUGUAAGAAGUACUGUUGAGCUAGAGACUGGAAGGCGUAGGAAGUAUGUUCAAAGUAGCGGUAAAAUGUGUUAAUCUUGAGCAGACUCACAAUCGCGAAGGCAUCCUACGAGGACAGUUCUGACAGUAAGGGAUGAAGGCUAGGGGCGCAAAACAGAUUAGAUACCUGUGUAGUCCUAGCAGUAAACACUGCACACUAAACAUCAGUACCUCCUCGAGAGGUAUUGGCGCUACAGGGAAGCCGAAGAGUGUGCUACCUGGGAAGUAUAGUCGCAAGACCG
This 381-nucleotide ribosomal RNA is filed under the name uncultured archaeon. RNAcentral describes it as "bacterial SSU rRNA". It matches the Rfam family "Archaeal small subunit ribosomal RNA", at positions 471 to 851 of the family's 1478-position model. The record is from RNAcentral.